CCCGAAAGGUCGAACGGGGAGAUUCAUCGUCAGCGACGCCGGCUUCGUCGUUACUCGCGAUAUCGUCGACCUCGCGUCGACGGCACGCGGUAGCGUCGCGUCAUGCCCGGCGGCGUCGGCGUGCACUUCUCCCCCAGUAGGACGUCGCGACCCGUUGGGCGUCGGCAUAAGGCCCGAUUGGUAGCCUGUCUCGGCGUUCGCGCCGGGGCAGACCGUCGGUCGCCCGGCCGGCUGCCCGGCGGUAUGCGCACGGUAUUGAGCCGCAUCGAACUAUGCGCCCGGCCCGUCGCAAGCUCGGUCAGCGUAUCCCGGUGGUCGGACCUAGCGCCGUCCCCGGGCCUGUCCAGCUGUUCGCGGACGGUGCCCCUAGGGCGGGCUCGCCCCCAAAACGAAAUACCGGUCGGCGACGCUAAUGCUUUGGGUACUUUCA
This 430-nucleotide ribosomal RNA is filed under the name Lophyrotoma interrupta. RNAcentral describes it as "eukaryotic LSU rRNA". Lineage: Eukaryota; Metazoa; Arthropoda; Insecta; Hymenoptera; Pergidae. The record is from RNAcentral.